GUAUGAUCAGAAGAAAGACGAAGCAAAUGAACUACGUAGAAUAUUUAUAGCUCAAGUGCGAACAAGAGGACAGUCAAGUGAGAAAUACAGUUUACCAGAUGAUGCAGGUUAACUACUAGGCACCGUUCUCGACAUACAGUGUUUUCCUGACAGUCAAGUUAACGCAAUAGAACAUGCAUGCCUGGGAUCAGAAAUCACACAUCACCAGCCAUCAUUGCAGAUCUUUUUUUUCCUUGAUACAACACGGGGGAAUACGAUAAAAUCAGUGCAAAAAACAGGAGCUAUUUUGCCCAUUGCAAAAACAAAGUGAGGUUGGACCAUAUUAGCACCAUUCCAACUAGAUCAAUCGCAAAAUUUCAAGGCGUCAAAAGAAUCAAGACAAAUGCAGCAAGUGCUCCCUGAUGCCUCAUCUCGUUAGCUUACAUCUUCUGUCAUUUCUGUGUCCACUGCCAUUAUAAUUUCCAUGUCUCUCAUAUCUCGCUUCAAUACAUUGCCAAGUCUUGCUAUGGCUUCUGUCUGCUGUUGUAAAACCUCCUGCAUAUUAGCAAGACUAUGAUCAUGUAUUUUGGUUGAUCCUGGAAGGUAAAUAGAACCACCAACUCCAAUUGCAUUUGCUUGAACACGAGAUACAGUGAGUAGGUUUUGAACCCUCCGAGAAAGUUCAGCUCCAGAUCCUUUCAGCUGUCUGGUUAUUGCAGCCAACUUCUCAGCCAAUUCAGCUUCCCCUUUCAUUAAGGGCAUUCGGUAACCCUUACCCUCCAAUGCCUCCAUUAUUCUCAUUAUCCUUAAAAGGCGACGCCUUUGAAGACUCUGCUCUUUUUGCCUCAUUCUUUCAAUCCAGGGAAGAGUCUCAGCUUGAAAAUGCCUUUGAAGCAUCUUUACAUUGCUUUGGGUCAUUCGCAAUCGCUC
This 909-nucleotide unclassified non-coding RNA is filed under the name Hevea brasiliensis (rubber tree). Lineage: Eukaryota; Viridiplantae; Streptophyta; Magnoliopsida; Malpighiales; Euphorbiaceae. The record is from RNAcentral.